This 373-nucleotide ribosomal RNA is filed under the name uncultured organism. RNAcentral's name for it is "partial 16S ribosomal RNA". It matches the Rfam family "Bacterial small subunit ribosomal RNA", at positions 527 to 896 of the family's 1533-position model. The record is from RNAcentral.
GUAGGUGGCAAGCGUUGUCCGGAAUUAUUGGGCGUAAAGCGCGCGCAGGCGGUUCUUUAAGUCUGAUGUGAAAGCCCACGGGCUCAACCGUGGAGGGUCAUUGGAAACUGGAGAACUUGAGUACAGAAGAGGAAAGCGGAAUUCCACGUGUAGCGGUGAAAUGCGUAGAGAUGUGGAGGAACACCAGUGGCGAAGGCGGCUUUCUGGUCUGUAACUGACGCUGAGGCGCGAAAGCGUGGGGAGCAAACAGGACUAGAUACCUUGGUAGUCCACGCCGUAAACGAUGAGUGCUAAGUGUUAGGGGGUUUCCGCCCCUUAGUGCUGCAGCUAACGCAUUAGGCACUCCGCCUGGGGAGUACGGCCGCAAAGGCUG